AUGGCGUCCUCCAGCGUCCCUUCUUGGCUUGCACUUGCGCUGCUCCUCUUGGUUGCUCUCGCUGCCACCGCCAAUGGCGACGAGCUCUCCCCGGGUUACUACGAGAAGACGUGCCCCAACGUGCAUCGCGUUGUGCGGUCAGUGAUGGCGAGCAGCGUCGCCGCCCAGCCGAGGAUGGCGCCCGCCGUCCUCCGCCUCUUCUUCCACGACUGCUUCAUCAACGUAUAUCACCUCUAUUCUUUAUACGGAUUUGCUAAAACUCAUUCAGCUGAGAAUCAAAUUGGUCUCAUUCACUUUUUUGGCCGUCUGAUUGAGCUGCGCCACGAUUCGUGUUUUCCUCCUGUAGAGAGCUUCGUAACGACGGGAGGCACAGCCCAUCUAUUGUCCCGCUCGUGGCCUGUUUUUUUUUUGUCGCGUGCUUGUUUUUCUUUUUUUGCUGACAAAGCCCACUUGUGUUGGAUAUAG
This 465-nucleotide ribosomal RNA is filed under the name Triticum aestivum (bread wheat). RNAcentral describes it as "partial small subunit ribosomal RNA". The record is from RNAcentral. Lineage: Eukaryota; Viridiplantae; Streptophyta; Magnoliopsida; Poales; Poaceae.